RNAcentral lists this ribosomal RNA (496 nucleotides) under uncultured bacterium. RNAcentral's name for it is "partial 16S ribosomal RNA". It matches the Rfam family "Bacterial small subunit ribosomal RNA", at positions 28 to 506 of the family's 1533-position model. The record is from RNAcentral.
GAUGAACGCUGGCGGCGUGCCUAAUACAUGCAAGUCGAGCGAACAGACGAGGAGCUUGCUCCUCUGACGUUAGCGGCGGACGGGUGAGUAACACGUGGAUAACCUACCUAUAAGACUGGGAUAACUUCGGGAAACCGGAGCUAAUACCGGAUAAUAUAUUGAACCGCAUGGUUCAAUAGUGAAAGACGGUUUUGCUGUCACUUAUAGAUGGAUCCGCGCCGCAUUAGCUAGUUGGUAAGGUAACGGCUUACCAAGGCAACGAUGCGUAGCCGACCUGAGAGGGGGAUCGGCCACACUGGAACUGAGACACGGUCCAGACUCCUACGGGAGGCAGCAGUAGGGAAUCUUCCGCAAUGGGCGAAAGCCUGACGGAGCAACGCCGCGGGAGUGAUGAAGGUCUUCGGAUCGUAAAACUCUGUUAUUAGGGAAGAACAAAUGUGUAAGUAACUAUGCACGUCUUGACGGUACCGAAGCAGAAAGCCACGGCUAACUACGU